GAUGAAGAACGUAGCGAAAUGCGAUAAGUAAUGUGAAUUGCAGAAUUCAGUGAAUCAUCGAAUCUUUGAACGCACAUUGCGCCCUCUGGUAUUCCGGGGGGCAUGCCUGUUCGAGCGUCAUUAUAACCACUCAAGCUCUCGCUUGGUAUUGGAGUUCGCGAUCUCGCGGCUCCUAAAAUCAGUGGCGGUGCCUGUCGGCUCUACGCGUAGUAAUACUCCUCGCGAUUGAGUCCGGUAGGUUUACUUGCCAGCAACCCCCAAUUUUUACAGGUUGACCUCGGAUCAGGUAGGGAUACCCGCUGAACUUAAGCAUAUCAAUAAGCGGGGA
RNAcentral lists this unclassified non-coding RNA (328 nucleotides) under soil metagenome. Its description in RNAcentral is "partial contains 5.8S ribosomal RNA, internal transcribed spacer 2, and large subunit ribosomal RNA". The stretch from base 1 to 120 matches the Rfam family "5.8S ribosomal RNA", at positions 35 to 154 of the family's 154-position model. The record is from RNAcentral.